This 586-nucleotide long non-coding RNA is filed under the name Ananas comosus (pineapple). RNAcentral's name for it is "long non-coding RNA (ACOM_LNC008890)". Lineage: Eukaryota; Viridiplantae; Streptophyta; Magnoliopsida; Poales; Bromeliaceae. The record is from RNAcentral.
ACUCAACCCUUUUCUUCUUCUCCUUGCUCAGCCACAGCAGCCCAAACCGCACAUACACACACACGCACACACGCAUGGAAGGGAGAGAGAGAACUUCAAAUUCUCUCUCUAAAUCUCUCCCAAAAUUAAAGAAAUUGGCGGAGAUUGAAGCUUGGAGGUGAAUCGCCGUCAUCUUCUUCAUCUUCUCCAUGGUUUGGAGCUUAUUUUGAGGUGAGCUUCUUGAGCCCUUUCAUGGUAGAUCUUCAAAGCUUUGUUUAUAAUCCAUAGAAAUGGCUUAUUUGGAAUCCUAUGAUGCUAAAUAGAGGAUUAAUGCUUGAAUCAUGGAUCAAUUUAAUGAUUUCUUGCAAUAGUUGUAACCUAGGGCUCUAUAAUGCAAUUUUUGCUAGGAGGUGGGUUUGAUCUAAAUUGAACCUAUAUAAACCUAAUUGCUAGGUAAACAAACGCGUUGGCGAAGUCGGUUCGGCGAUCCGUCGAGCCGUUGCGAAGUUAUUUAAGAAACGGACAUUUAGGCUUCGGGUCCGCCGGGAGGGCCGAGGCGACGUCGUAAAAUCGUGGAAAUGGAUUGGAGGCAUUGUGGCACAUAACC